Molecule: transfer RNA, 72 nt
Filed under: bacterium
Lineage: Bacteria
Description: tRNA-Cys
Rfam family: tRNA
About the family: Transfer RNA (tRNA) molecules are approximately 80 nucleotides in length.
Source: RNAcentral
GGCCCGGUGGCGAAGUAGAAACGCUAGAGUCUGCAAAACUCUCAUGCGCGGGUGCGAUUCCCGCCCGGGCCU